UCCGGUUUGUCACCGGCAGUCUGGCGUGAGUCCCCAACUUAAUGCUGGCAACACGCCACAGAGGUUGCGCUCGUUGCGGGACUUAACCCAACAUCUCACGACACGAGCUGACGACAACCAUGCACCACCUGCGCAGGACCCUUGCGGACCUCACAUCUCUACGGCUUUUCCCUGCAUGUCAAGCCUAGGUAAGGUUCUUCGCGUUGCAUCGAAUUAAGCAACAUGCUCCGCCGCUUGUGCGGGCCCCCGUCAAUUCCUUUGAGUUUUAGCCUUGCGGCCGUACUCCCCAGGCGGGGCACUUAAUGCGUUAGCUACGGCACGGAGACCGUCGAUAGGUCCCCACACCUAGUGCCCAACGUUUACGGCAUGGACUAC
RNAcentral lists this unclassified non-coding RNA (375 nucleotides) under uncultured Actinomycetes bacterium. Its description in RNAcentral is "uncultured actinobacterium contains 16S-23S intergenic spacer region". The record is from RNAcentral. Lineage: Bacteria; Bacillati; Actinomycetota; Actinomycetes.